AACUACCACUCCCAGAAUGCAAUUGCUUGGCUUUGUUGCCGGAAAACGUCCGUUCAGGAUGAACACACAUGAACUUCAAAGGGACGGAAAGGGAGUUGUGGAGAAGAACGAACCAGAGGAGAACAACAUUUGUUCACUCACACUGGGUCAGGUGGUCAAUGUUGUACGGUUCCACUGUAGCCUCCCGUUUUCUGCACGUGGAGUUGGAGCUGAACGUUCACCUUCGCCAGCUGUCGUUAAGUGAGCCCGUGCGCUACAAUCCACUGGAGUAUGCCUGAGAACUGCACGGCUGCUUCGUUUAGACAUUGGGGAAUGUGAGGCCCUCCUGUGCACCCUCUGACAUAGCACUGUGCCAAGCCGUGGCUGCCCUGGGCGUCACCAUGGGGAUUGGGUUUGGCAGAGCAGCGAGCACAGCAAGCCCUUUCGGCUGCGGGCAUGGAGGUACGAGUGACGGGCAGCAUGCACCCCUUUGCUGGGAGGCGGUGUCCAAGGCCAAGCUGGAGGAACAAGGCAUCCUAUCCCUACUGAGCACAUAACCUCUAGCCAAGCAGCCUCCAUGAACAAUGCAGUUUGCUGGCCUGGGGGUAGGAGUUGCCUUAGAUCAGCAUCUAGGGGCAAUGUUUGUUGGGAUCACUAUCCUCCACUGUACCUUAAGACUUGGACACACUCACAUUGUGUUUACAAAUUGUUCAAUGACUCAUCACUCUGCUGUAACAUUGCUGUCAGAUGGUGUUGUCCUGCCUCUCUGCUCUCCCAGGCCCUCUCACACAGCAGUUCCCGGUUGAGCAGCUUUUCCCCCAGAGCUCUCAUGUUUAUAGGCCAUGUGGAGGCAUACUGCAUCACAAUGACUCUCCUCCGAUCCUGUUAUAUCCAUUACUCCAUUACAGAGAAGAUAAAUGAUGUCUGUAUUUACCUCACUGUGGUUUGUACUGCCUCGCAGCAUGUAGACAGCUGCCCUGUCUCUGACCACUGACCUUUGUGAGGACAUUCUGUAGCAUAUUACCUUGAAGCAAUUACACCCAGAUCUGGCUAAGAAAUACCUCACUACAUAUUCCAGGUAAACGUAGUUUGUCAGUCACACCUCCUAAUGAGUUUUCUAUUCCCUCAGCCAGUCUCAAACAGCAGAGCUUGUUACCAAUAAUGACCCGCUAUUAUGAAGAGCCAUGACUUUAUGUUGCCUUCAUGAUGUAGCCCAGUGGGGCGGGACCCAUGCCCCUCCCCAAAAAAUUGAAAAAAUAUGCAGGGGUGUUCCCCAAUGAGGAAUGGGGGCCCGAGUGAAAACGUUUGGGAACCACUGAUAUAGCCUGAAGCUAAUGACAUCUUACUCUCAAUUUAAACCAGGGUCCUACUUGUGGUCAUUAUGGUAGUUGUUCUUGUUUCCCACUUGGUCUCAGCAGUGGUUUGCAAAAUGGGAGUGAAUGUAGACUAGUUUCAGUUUCUUUGUGGCCUUUGUAACAGCAUUGCAAUACCAAUGUUUCUCCUUUGUCCAAUUUAGUACAUGUUCAAGCCAACGAUUGACCUUUGCUGAUGCUGUAUGUAUGGGAAUGCCCUGUCCUUACCUUUGUUACAUCUUGGAAGGACUUCUGCAGUCUCUUCCUCUUUUGGCAUCCUACCAUUACUACUAAGAAAGUUCUGACUGUCAAUGUCCUACUGUAUACCCACACUAGUGCAUAGUACGUAUAAAGCCCUCUCUGUAACGUACGCCCCAUUAGGUCAUGUAUGAAUAAGAAUAAGCCCUUGUUGAUGACGUAAAGGGCACUCAAAUGUUCUUGCACCAUGUUGUUAUACCACUCAGGUUAAGCUUAAAAUGGAGGUUAAGCUUGUAAUGGAAAAGGGGCUCAAGUGUACAGUCCUCCUUGCAGGUUCCUCUCCAAUGAUGCUUCCUCCCUUACACACCAUUCUGAACAACUCAGACAAAAUGCCACAUAGCGGGUGAUCAAGUGUGUGUGUGUGAACCUAAAUCAGGUGGUCCCUUAAUAAGAAUGAUAUUUUUCUAUAUGCAUGGGAUUCAUCUUAUACUAUGGGGUUGUGAUGUACUUUAGUUUGUACUUGAAGUUAGUGUUUUGUUUUAAAGAUAUUUGUCUUGUCCUUGUUUUUUUAUAGAUGUACAUUUCUCAUUGCCUUGAGUUUUCUCUGGCAUUGUUAUAAUGAAUGUUUUUGUACAUGAACUAAUUUCCACUAUGUUGCAUUUAUUUUGUAAGGCAAUAAAUGGACUUUAUACUGCA
Long non-coding RNA from Salmo salar (Atlantic salmon), 2225 nucleotides. RefSeq lists it as uncharacterized. NCBI's taxonomy places the organism in Eukaryota, Metazoa, Chordata, Actinopteri, Salmoniformes, Salmonidae. The record is from RefSeq and is a predicted model, not a curated record.